Long non-coding RNA from Plodia interpunctella (Indianmeal moth), 1439 nucleotides. RefSeq lists it as uncharacterized. The transcript is spliced from 5 exons. Lineage: Eukaryota; Metazoa; Arthropoda; Insecta; Lepidoptera; Pyralidae. The record is from RefSeq and is a predicted model, not a curated record.
UCGCACCUGAUGAUAAAUGUUUAGAAUUUAAUUGGUUAUUCUUGAUUCUUUACGACGUUUAUCUAACGGUAAUUAUCAGAUUUAUUUCAGUAUCUGACAUCUCCAUUUUAUUAAGGUCGAGAUGUGAAGUUUGAUAAAUCGCAAUAUCUAUUGGUCGUGAUAUUUUUAAAAUUUCUUAUGGGCAUCAAAUAUUUCUUAUAUUCGUAUUCCAACACUCAAACUCUUUAUAAUUCUCUGAAAAUAUGUAAAAAAAUUAUUCAGACAUUCGAACUUUACCUAAAUUGUUUGUUUCAAUUUCAAACUGACAUUUAGGAAACAUGAUGGGAUUAUAACUUUAUUUUGUCGAGAUAACUUGUGAAAACGUGAAACUAAUAGACAUUUGAAAUUAUAAUGUUUUGAUCCCAACUCAAAGUUUGAACAAACUAUGACCUGUUCGCUGUAAUCUCAAUUGGCUUCGUAUUUGAAGGGUGAAGUUUAUUUAACUUAUGAAAAGGAUUACAUUACAAAAUUUCCUGUGGAACAAAAGUUAUUUGUGUUACACGGAAAUAACAAGGGCUUCAAUCGAUGAAUACAAUAUGUCCGGAAAUAUGGUUAGGUAGAACUAGCAGUCGAAAAAGGGUUAGGUAUUAAUAAACCUUGAUCAACCAAAUAUUUCGCAUUUCAAGGGGGUAAAUAAAUACAAGAAGUGCAGACUUGAUCUUGACCUUGCGAACUAGAGGAGAAAAAAGUAUGAACAUUGACGACAGGCUUGGGUGGUCUAUGGUGGCGGAAGCAAUUGGGAAGACGCUCAGAAGGAGGCCGCCGAAAGGGAGUGCGAGGCACGAGCGAAAGCCUCUCCCCAUCGGCGGGAACGAGGAGACAGGCGAUGGGCACAAUACGCCCAUCGUCUGCCAGGAUAGUGCCGUAAGACUACGCCGGGGGUCGUCGUGGUAGAAUGCUUGCGAUCCCAUGGCGUCUCCAAUAACGGCAUGUGCGGAAACGCCGCAGGGGGUUUAGUGGGUAGUCCGGGCUAGGCCCGGGAAUCCCCCACACUGGCCUGGUGCCUAAACGCAUUCGCUCCCUGCGAAAACAAAAAAAAAGGUGGUGUAUCCUGGCGACGCGCGUGGCGGCAAUCGGGGCGCUGGCAGCGCAGACCAAAAAGUCGGCUGCGCACGCGCUGAGCAGCUGCGGCGUCCGUAGUCUAGCAGCUCCCCCUGAUGCCAGUGCCGCCAUCAGACUUACAUUACCUAAUACACGUGUCUUUUUCGCUAUGGAUUCCGAAAGUACUUUAUUUGCGCUUCUGCGGCAGUUGAUUGUGUUAAACGAUCACGAAAAAUAUCUGAAUUACAAUAACAAUUUUCUAAAACAUACUGGCCGAAAAGAAAACUGAGGAAAAUGAAGAAACCAUGGAAGAAACAGAACGGAUCAGAAAGUUUUAUUUCAGAAGUAACUCACCGAUA